GAUGAACGCUGGCGGCGUGCCUAAUACAUGCAAGUCGAGCGAACAGACGAGGAGCUUGCUCCUCUGACGUUAGCGGCGGACGGGUGAGUAACACGUGGAUAACCUACCUCUAAGACUGGGAUAACUUCGGGCCACCGGAGCUAAUACCGGAUAAUAUAUUGAACCGCAUGGUUCAAUAGUGAAAGACGGUUUUGCUGUCACUUAUAGAUGGAUCCGCGCCGCAUUAGCUAGUUGGUAAGGUAACGGCUUACCAAGGCAACGAUGCGUAGCCGACCUGAGAGGGUGAUCGGCCACACUGGAACUGAGACACGGUCCAGACUCCUACGGGAGGCAGCAGUAGGGAAUCUUCCGCAAGGGGCGAAAGCCUGACGGAGCAACGCCGCGUGAGUGAUGAAGGUCUUCGGAUCGUAAAACUCUGUUAUUAGGGAAGAACAAAUGUGUAAGUAACUAUGCACGUCUUGACGGUACCUAAUCAGAAAGCCACGGCUAACUACGUG
RNAcentral lists this ribosomal RNA (497 nucleotides) under uncultured bacterium. RNAcentral's name for it is "partial 16S ribosomal RNA". It matches the Rfam family "Bacterial small subunit ribosomal RNA", at positions 28 to 507 of the family's 1533-position model. The record is from RNAcentral.